RNA transcript from Coturnix japonica (Japanese quail), 7724 nucleotides. It is a transcript of the gene named pyruvate dehydrogenase kinase 1, with no coding region annotated. NCBI's taxonomy places the organism in Eukaryota, Metazoa, Chordata, Aves, Galliformes, Phasianidae. The record is from RefSeq and is a predicted model, not a curated record.
CACGAGCGCCCGCACGAGCGCUCCCACAUCCGGCGGCGCAACCCGCAGCAGGUACCGCCUCACUGCGCUUACAGCGCCGCCGCGACAGCCCGGCCUCAUUUCUGCCCCAUCGGAGCACAUCACCUCUUCAGCUCGAAUCCCGGUUCUCCUCAGCGCUGCUCCGCUCCGCGCCUCACUGCACAACGUCCCUCCCCGCGCCGUGCUGUGCCGAGGAGGUUCCCCCUCAGCCCGGCCGCCAUUUCCCGCUUCUCCCCUCGCCGCCCCCCAGGCGCUCCCCGGGGCAGCAGCCCCUCCGAUCUACCUUGCCGAGCCCGGGAUUCUCCUGAAGCGACCGUCGCCUCCCACCGGGACGGAGAUCGGCGGCCACCUCGGUAGCGCCGGGCGGGAUCUCCCCUCCUCGGAGCCGCCCCCUCCUCCGCCCCGCCGCAGCUGCGUGGGGCCGGGCCGGGAGGACGGGCCUCGGGCACCUCCCCCGGCCGCGCGGCGGAGGAGGCUGCGGUGCGGGCAGGGGCCGGGGGAGAGAGUGCGGCGGGAGAUGGCGGCCGGGACGGGCUGAGCCGAGCGUGGGCCGCACCGGGGGAGCCAUGAGGCUGCUGCGCGCCCUGCUGCGCUGCGCCUCGCCGGGCAGCAUCCCGCAGCAGGUGGACUUCUACUCGCGCUUCUCCCCCUCGCCGCUCUCCAUGAAGCAGUUCCUGGAUUUCGGAUCUGAAAAUGCCUGUGAAAAGACUUCAUUUAUGUUUCUGCGACAAGAGCUGCCUGUAAGAUUAGCAAACAUAAUGAAGGAAAUAAGCCUGCUUCCAGACAAUCUUCUCAGAACACCUUCAGUUCAGCUGGUGCAGAGUUGGUAUGUCCAAAGUCUUCAGGAGAUCCUUGACUUUAAAGACAAGAGUUCAGAAGAUUCGGGGGCUAUUCACAGUUUUACAGAUACCGUGAUAAAAAUACGCAAUCGACACAAUGAUGUAAUUCCUACUAUGGCUCAAGGAGUGAUAGAAUACAAGGAAAGCUUUGGCAUUGACCCAGUGACCUCGCAGAACGUGCAGUAUUUUUUAGACCGUUUCUACAUGAGUCGCAUUUCAAUUAGGAUGCUCCUUAAUCAACACUCCUUACUGUUUGGUGGGAAAAUUAAUCCAGCUCAUCCAAAACACAUUGGAAGCAUCGAUCCUAGCUGCAAUGUUGUUGGAGUUAUUAGAGACGGCUAUGAAAGUGCCAAGAGUCUUUGUGAUUUGUAUUAUAUGAGCUCUCCAGAACUUGUCCUUGAAGAGUUGAAUAUUAAAUCACCAGGACAGCCCAUGCAAGUGGUGUAUGUACCGUCCCACCUCUAUCACAUGGUUUUCGAACUUUUCAAGAAUGCAAUGAGAGCCACCAUGGAACAUAAUGCUGAUCGAUGCAUUUAUCCUCCAAUUCAUGUGCAUGUCACCUUGGGGAAUGAGGAUUUAACUGUUAAGAUGAGUGAUCGUGGCGGAGGUGUUCCUAUGAGGAAAAUUGACAGACUAUUCAACUAUAUGUAUUCAACAGCACCGCGUCCACGUGUUGAGACAUCCCGAGCUACACCUUUGGCUGGAUUUGGUUAUGGCUUGCCCAUAUCACGCCUGUAUGCACAGUACUUCCAAGGAGACCUGAAACUGUAUUCCUUAGAAGGUUAUGGCACAGAUGCAGUUAUUUACAUAAAGGCCUUAUCAACAGAAUCGGUUGAAAGACUCCCUGUGUAUAACAAAGCAGCCUGGAAACAUUAUAAAGCAAACCAUGAAGCGGAUGACUGGUGUGUGCCAAGCAGUGAGCCAAAGGACAUGACUACUUUUCGCAGUACAUAGCUUUUUGCUCAGCAGCUCCUAAGAUGUGCCAGAUGAAUUUAGCAUCUAUGCUAUAGCCCUGAGUUAGUUGCAGCAGCCCUGUAUGAAAGCAAGCCAUCAUUUCCACUACUGUCUUCCCUGCAAAACAAGCUCCUCGCUGGGUGCAACGUUGAGUUCAGAAGACUUAAAGAAAAGAGGUGAAUGCAGUCCCCUACAGAAUGCAGAGCAGCUCUUAGCACCACCUCCUCCAUGCAGCAUGGAUUGGACCAGCUAGCAGCCUGCACCACACAAGUCCUCUGGAUGGUGCUAAUAAUUCCAACCGUACUAUCAACAUAUCAGUGAUUACUCUUGGUCUCUGCUGAAAAACUGGAUCUCUCUGUCUUGGCAACAGCAGAGGAUAUGGGUUCAAACUGAGUCAUCAGCCACAAGUUAUUAAAUGGCCCCAGGUCACCUGGCCAGCCAGGGACUCCAGCUGAAAACUAUGAAAAAAGCCAGAUGCUACACCUGAAGACUUCACAUUACCCUGGUAAGAAAACCCUUCUAAAGAAAACUAACAUGUAUUUUACAGGAUAUUUUCUAAUUUAACCACCUCAGUUUCUAACCCAGAUCCCAAUUUCUACCUUAUUUUUCCUUUAAUGAGCAAAAAAUACAUCUGUUGGAAGCACAUCUCAUGUAUUUACCUUUUUAAAAUCCUUAGCACUCAUUUUUACUGCCUACAAACUGUAAGCAAUUAUUUACCUUUAUUUCUGAAGUCUCUACUCAACUACAUAGACUUUGUAAGGAUGCCAUACCAUAUGUGUGUAAAUAAUCUGAGAUGCUAGAUUAAGUUGAUUUAAAAUCUACUUUUCAAAUGUAAUUUAUGCUACUAUAAAAUAACUUUUCUUUUGUUUCCUUUUUUGAGCACUUUCAUAUUUAAGUUCUUAUUUUGGUUUAACCUGAACUCUGAAUUUUCUAGGUUAUUCUAUCUUAGUUUUGGGGGUGGUAACUUGAUAUUUUCACUAUUUUACCCUCAAGUAUUGAUACACAUUUCCACUCUCCACCAUGACCACAAUCAAAACAAACCACAAUUUGACUCUUCCUGCUACUCAGUGGCGGAGCGUGACAUUCAACAUGGCUAGUAAGAUGCCUAACCCUCCAUCUAGAUUAUUUCAUUAAUUACAUUAGUUAGUUAAGGUGAUUUAAAUCUAAUAAUGUAAAUAAAAUCCAAUUGCAUUCAAUGUUUGGAGCUUCUUCAGUCUUUUACUGUAAAAAGUAUUACCAGAAACAAGAUAAUAUUCUGAUAAUUCUGAAAUGAGGAGCUCUUCUUUUAAAUUCCCUUAUUCAUUCCUUGCAGAGGAAUUGUGAACAAUUCACAAACAAAGUUGUGCUUCGGAAAGAAAAAAUAAAAAUUGAAGAGGACAGGGUAACAUUUGAGCCUCAACAUUUAAUGAGAUGAGAAAAAAAAAUAAAAUAAAAAGAAGAAAACAUAACCAAACUAAAAGUAUCUCAGUGUCUCAGCACCAGUUGUAAUGCAUUUUCUCUUCUCUUCUUCCUGCCCCAUUUCAGGCUUAGAUUUCCUUUUUAAGACUUAGGGCCAGUUGCAAAGACUUUUCAUUCCUGAAAAGAACUUGAAUAGAAAAGAUUCUGUAGGUAGACUUCUCAAGAUUUAAGGUAGAGAUAUAUAACUAAUUUACUCCACAGCAUUCUUCAUUGCAAUAAAAAUAAAACACUGCAUACAAGUUUACAGAAGAUAAUCUGGAAAAGUGAAGAAUGCAAACACUAUAUACAUGUUUGCACUGCAUUAGAGAACAGGAAAUCAGUGGGCAGAUUAUGUGAAGGGAUUUCUUCAAGAACCGUGUAAUUUUGAAGCUUUCUGAAGCUAAACUGUCUGCAAACAGAUCACAGCAUUUUAGUUUCCUGUGCUCCUACUUUUCAUAAGUAUUAAGAAUUUGGUUCAUCACUUUGCAAAGCUUUGAUGGCUAAGUUUGGUAUUAUUUUAAGAAAACAAGAUCUUCCAAGAUGCAAUAGUUACAAGAAGUUAAUGUCACAGAAAUGGGAAACAUUUCAAGUAUAGCUACAGUCCUUACACCAUCAGUCUUAAAACACAAAUACAUAAACGAGGCAAUGCCAAAGACUCUACCAGCUUUAGAGUCUUACAUGACAAGAGUUCUCUUCUACCUCCUCAGUAAGAAGUACUUUCACCUGCUUAUAAGUGAUACCGCAUGCAUAAGAGCAGAAAAUAUUACCACCAAGAAAAGGAAUAUUCUUUCCUUAAAUUCUACUAAGAUAAUUUUGUCCCUACCAUUACAUUGUUUUAGUAAGAAAACUCACUGCAGAGUGGCCAGGCACAUUUCCUUCUCAGUCUUCGAGUCUUUUCACCAGCAGGCGUACCAGCUAAAGAUUUCUUAUUUAUAGCACAGACUUAACAGGCUGGUUAGGAACUACAAAGAUAAGUCUUUCCAAGCAGCGUUUAUUGUUACAAUACAAGCUUUAGAAAAAAAAACAACCCAAGGUUGCAAAGUGAAAACAGCUUGACUUUGGAGAGGCUGUACAUGAUUUUAGGAUCAAUUAACGCAUAACGAUCUGUUCUUUGACAGGGUCAGCUUUCUGUUUUACAAAGCAGACGUAUAGCUGAAGACUACUAUAUGAUUCCAGCUGCUGGUUUGCAACUGGCGCUAAGGAAAAGAGCAAAGCAGCAAUUACAUACUGGAGCACAAGACGAAAGCUACAAAUAAAACAGUAGGCAAGAAACUAGCUGGAAGUUUAAAGUGAUGGAAAGCCUGGAAAAACAAAUAGAUGAGAAAGGAAAGUGUAUUAAUUCAGAAGUGUGAAAAAGAAGAGAGAAGACCUAAUUUGGUAAGCUUUAUGCAUUUUAGAUUGUUAACUAAAGUACAUAUAGAAGCAUAUUAAGAGGUGCUUAAGCAUAUUUUGAGUGCUUAUAGUAGAAAUGCAGCAGGGAGAUUUUUACUGUGCUCUGAAUAGUAACUUGUAUCAAGCAGGAAGGAGUAAUUAAGAGGCGAAAAACAGGUUCUUCUGAGGCAGCAAAAGCUAAGUCACUGAAUGUUUAUCUACAAAGAAAGUAUCUUGAUAACUUUGCUACAGCCUAUUAAGGUAUUCUCUUCAAUGUGGCUCUUGCAAUCCUGAUAUCUUUGGCAUAUUUAUGGGAAUGCCUUAGCUUCAAUAGAAGCAAAUAACAAAGGAAAGUAUAAGCACACAAGUCACACGCACACGUUCAGUAACAGUGCUCUGCAUAGGAUAGCUCUACUUACAGGAUUAAGGGGUUCCUACUCUGAUAAAGUUUUUAUAGUAAUGUUUGUUUCUAAACCCACUGUUUGUAUUUUUUGCAAACUCAUAUACUGUGUAUGUGCAAAGCUUAAACACAUGACAGCCACUCUAAAUUCACACUAAGAAAUCAGACAGUAGUUUAAAAACUGUUUUAUGAUAGGAUUUUAGCACACUUAAUAUCUGCAGACAUGGAAAGCCAACUUGUUAUCUAACAGUUAUGCAAAACAUCAGCAAACUCCACAAACUACAGCCCAGCAUGUUUUUCUCUCUAAUAGCAUUUAGGGAGAGCAGAAAGUGAAAUAAUUUUUUAGAAAAUCAGAGUGAAAAAGUGUGAAACUUAAGAACAAACUUAGUUUGUAAAGUUACUUAAAUAACUACAAUUUUGAAUCUGACAGAAUCCAAAGGAAAGAAGAAUAAAGGUAACUUGUUAAGACUAUCAGUAACAGUCUUACACUGACAAUAGUUUUUAGACAGCACACACAUUGUUUGUGGGCAUUUCUUUCAUGUAAUUUUAAUCCCACUACAGCCGAUGGGUAAACAAAGCUACAAAAUUGGGACACUACUGAACGUUCCACUAAACUUUUUAUUUUUCACAGCCAUUUCUUUCAAAUAAUUUAAACAGUAAAGAUGGGAUUUUCAUGGUUAUAGACUGAACCAUGUAAUCUCACUGUUAAAGUCUGGUUAAAGUGCUUUAACUUAUUAGAAUAACACCAGUUACUCAGAAGCAAUUUUCUAGAAGAGAGGGUUCUACAGAAACUUCUCUCAGCUUUAAAUACUUCUUUCAAAUGGGAUACUCGCACGGACUCAAGCUUUUGCAGUCAAGUUUAUAAGAGGUGAUGCCAUAAAUGUCUGCUAUCAAGAUUCCACAUACUAAGCACCACACAUUUUUACUUUGUCAAGAUACAAUGCUUAAAUAUUCAAAGCACAAAUUAGUCAUCUUUACCUUGCUUCUGUUCUUGUCUUGACCAUGUUCACAACUGUCCUGUCCACUCUGAGUAAAGUGCAGACUACUGCUAGAAACCUGAGGCUCUUUGUGACUGUCUCCAAACCACGAGAAAGGCAUGCAAGUCGGAACAGGAGAAUCCGAAUCUGAUGCAGACAGAUUGUUGCCAGAAUCAUCCAACAGUUCUCGAGAACCUCUAAAAUAAGUUGUUUUUAAAUAAAGCAAAAAUGAAAACCCAUAAGAAACAAGCAAACAAAAACAUUUGCACCUCUUUCACAGCACAGCUGAUUCUAAGAAUGAAAACUGAGACUCGCUGUGAAUAUCCAUGCAAAAUAAUUUGGGUUAUUGGUUAAUUUAAGAUCUAUUUCAAUAUUUCACAGUUCCAAAUAUGCGAUAAUCCACUCAACAUUCUUUUCCAUCCUAAGUAAAAUACAGUUACAGUAUUUAAGAUAGAGUGUAACAUGUCUUAUGAGCCACUUUACAAUGUAUCCUUGCUUUACUAUUUCCUCUAUGCUACCCAUUUUACUUUAAGCACUUUAGAACUUUUAGUUCCACUUUUUAUUAUGUCACAAGGUUAGAAGCUCAUCUGCAUAUUCCUAUAAUAAUCUACAGAAUUUUGUCACUGAUCUAUUUGAACAUACUUGAAGGUCAAACAUCAAUGAUGAUUUCAAAGAAAUUUCUUUGUUAAAAAUAUUAGGAGUGCAGAAUGUGUAACUGAAACAAAAAGAACAAAUACCUGCUAUCCAGAGAAACUCUUACACUUUCUUUCUCUUGUUUCUUGCCCUUGCCCCCAGACUUCCGUAAACCACUGAAAUGAGAAACACAAUUUUCAUGUAGUGUUUACAUUUACACAAUGCAAAACUUUUUUCAGUCAGUUUCAACAGUUAUAAAAAGCCACAUUACUAUUGUUACACAGAGCAUGGUCUUGUAAUUAUGCAUGCAAUUAAGUACUGUCAUUUAUAUUUAAGAACCAGGACCGAAUUCUGGCAAUUCCUUUCAAAAAUCACCAAUAUAACCAAGAUAAAUAUAGAAAAUGCCCAGAGAAACUUAACAAUCAGUGAAUUGACAAAGAGAAAGAACAUAAUUUUAUUGCUAGAUAAACAUGCAUAAGUCAGCACUACACGAUUUUCUCAACAGUUUGCUUUCAGAGAAUAUGACACUAUCCAAAAGCAAUACUGAAAGCCAUUCAUUUCCAAACUAACACAAACUAAUCUUACCCAAAAUCUGGAAAUCGCCUUUUGGACUUCCCUGAUGAUGUUCCUUCAUUUGUUUCAACUGUUUUGUCUUCAUUUUUUUUCUCUUCUGCUUUGCAUAGAGGGAUGAAAAAUAAAAACAUUGUUCUAAAAAUAACUAAGUUUCAAAUAUUCAUGCUGAAAAUUAUUCUAAAUAAAUAAGAUCCUAAAGCCUAAGUAACACAGUGUUUACAACAUUUAGUUGUCCUUCUGCACUUCUCUCCCUCAUCCUGAGUCAGUAAGCCAGUCCAGGCUGGCUAUUUCAAAGUAGUACUACAAGUAACUAGUAGUCAGUUCCUUUUCUUACCAAGAAGUUUAUUGCUCGAUAAUAAUUUAUAUCUAAAACCAUAACGAUCCCAAAGUAUUAAAGUAACAAUAAAAUCUUAGGUCUUACCCUUGGCCUCUUUUCCUUUCCCUUUUACUUCUCUUUGUUUAACAUUCUUGGUAUGCCCUUGAGGAGAAUUUGGAGCCAUCUCUCCAGGAGGAGGUGAAUGA